GAUGAACGCUGGCGGCGUGCCUAACACAUGCAAGUCGAGCGAAGCGCCUUACUUGAUUUCUUCGGGAUGAAAGUAUUGUGACUGAGCGGCGGACGGGUGAGUAACGCGUGGAUAACCUGCCUCAUACAGGGGGAUAACAGUUAGAAAUCACUGCUAAUACCGCAUAAGCUGUGAGUAUCACAUGAUACAAAUAGAAAAGGAGCAAUCCGCUGAUAGAUGAGCUUGCGUCUGAUUAGUUAGUUGGUGAGGUAACGGCCCACCAAGACGAUGAUCAGUAGCCGGACUGAGAGGUUGAACGGCCACAUUGGGACUGAGAUACGGCCCAG
RNAcentral lists this ribosomal RNA (326 nucleotides) under uncultured bacterium. RNAcentral's name for it is "bacterial SSU rRNA". It matches the Rfam family "Bacterial small subunit ribosomal RNA", at positions 28 to 334 of the family's 1533-position model. The record is from RNAcentral.